CGCGGCCAAGGCGAUGGAUUUCCGCCGGGCAUUUUGCCGAACCGCCUGCCGCGCCAAACGGCGCCAGGGCUGAUGAUUCCUACCUGAAA
This 89-nucleotide non-coding RNA is filed under the name Novosphingobium sp. AAP1. Its description in RNAcentral is "Fluoride riboswitch aptamer (crcB RNA motif)". It matches the Rfam family "Fluoride riboswitch aptamer (crcB RNA motif)". Lineage: Bacteria; Pseudomonadati; Pseudomonadota; Alphaproteobacteria; Sphingomonadales; Sphingomonadaceae. The record is from Rfam by way of RNAcentral. RNAcentral also lists the same sequence under 1 other name.